CUGGCAGCACCAGAGUUUGAAAUCCUCCAUGGAGCCACAAGAGAGAUGCAAGAUGGAGCAGAGUAAGGUUCCCCCAUGCCACCCUGCCAAGGUGCUUCAAGUCGGUCUUGAAGGAACCACCUCUGGGAUGAGAGGAGAGUUCAGUCUCCAUGGCCCAGCCAGUUCUUGGUCUCU
Molecule: small RNA, 174 nt
Filed under: Chrysemys picta bellii (western painted turtle)
Lineage: Eukaryota; Metazoa; Chordata; Testudines; Emydidae
Description: TUC338 (ENSCPBG00000003519.1)
Source: RNAcentral